CGGCGGACGGGUGAGUAAUGUAUGGGGAUCUGCCCGAUGGAGGGGGAUAACUACUGGAAACGGUAGCCAAUACCGCAUAACGUCGCAAGACCAAAGAGGGGGACCUUCGGGCCUCUUGCCAUCGGAUGUGCCCAGAUGGGAUUAGCUAGUAGGUGGGGUAACGGCUCACCUAGGCGACGAUCCCUAGCUGGUCUGAGAGGAUGACCAGCCACACUGGAACUGAGACACGGUCCAG
This 235-nucleotide ribosomal RNA is filed under the name uncultured bacterium. RNAcentral describes it as "partial 16S ribosomal RNA". It matches the Rfam family "Bacterial small subunit ribosomal RNA", at positions 96 to 334 of the family's 1533-position model. The record is from RNAcentral.